AGAGUUUGAUCAUGGCUCAGAGCGAACGCUGGCGGCGUGCUAACACAUGCAAGUCGAACGUGAACGGCUUCGGCCUAGUAAAGUGGCGUACGGGUGAGUAACGCGUAGGUAAUCUACCUCAGAGUCUGGAAUAACCCGGCCGAAAGGCUGGCUAAUACUGGAUAGAGCGAUGGGAUCCGUAAUUGGGUCUUUCGGGAAAGGGAGCUCGUCAAGAGCCCUCGCUUUGGGAUGAGCCUGCGUCUCAUUAGCUAGUUGGUGGGGUAAUGGCCCACCAAGGCUUUGAUGGGUAGCUGGUCUGAGAGGAUGAUCAGCCACACUGGAACUGAAACACGGUCCAGACUCCUACGGGAGGCAGCAGUGGGGAAUCUUGCGCAAUGGACGAAAGUCUGACGCAGCCACGCCGCGUGAGUGAAGAAGGCCUUCGGGUUGUAAAGCUCUGUCGGAGGGGACGAAAAUACUUGGAGUUAACAGCUCCAGGGACUGACGGUACCCUCAAAGGAAGCACCGGCUAACUCCGUGCCAGCAGCCGCGGUAAUACGGAGGGUGCAAGCGUUGCUCGGAAUUAUUGGGCGUAAAGGGCAGGUAGGUGGUCCGAUUUGUCUGGGGUGAAAUCCUUGAGCUUAACUCAAGAAGUGCCCCAGAAACGGUCGGACUAGAGUGCUGGAGAGGCUAGCGGAAUACCCGGUGUAGCGGUGAAAUGCGUAGAGAUCGGGUGGAACACCAGAGGCGAAGGCGGCUAGCUGGACAGUGACUGACACUCAACUGCGAAAGCGUGGGGAGCAAACAGGAUUAGAUACCCUGUAGUCCACGCUGUAAACGAUGGGUACUAGGCUUGGCGGGUUUGACCCCUGCCGAGCCGGAGCUAACGCAAUAAGUACCCGCCUGGGAGUACGGUCGCAGACUAAACUCAAGGAUGACGGAUCGUCGACUGCAGCAUGCAGCUUGCACUGGCGUCGUUUACACGUCGUGACUGGGAAACCUGCGUACCCACUAUCGCUGCAGCACAUCCCCUUCGUCAGCUG
RNAcentral lists this ribosomal RNA (1022 nucleotides) under uncultured bacterium. RNAcentral describes it as "bacterial SSU rRNA". It matches the Rfam family "Bacterial small subunit ribosomal RNA". The record is from RNAcentral.